This 497-nucleotide ribosomal RNA is filed under the name uncultured bacterium. RNAcentral describes it as "partial 16S ribosomal RNA". It matches the Rfam family "Bacterial small subunit ribosomal RNA", at positions 28 to 507 of the family's 1533-position model. The record is from RNAcentral.
GAUGAACGCUGGCGGCGUGCCUAAUACAUGCAAGUCGAGCGAACAGACGAGGAGCUUGCUCCUCUGACGUUAGCGGCGGACGGGUGAGUAACACGUGGAUAACCUACCUAUAAGAAUGGGAUAACUUCGGGAAACCGGAGCUAAUACCGGAUAAUAUAUUGAACCGCAUGGUUCAAUAGUGAAAGACGGUUUUGCUGUCACUUAUAGAUGGAUCCGCGCCGCAUUAGCUAGUUGGUAAGGUAACGGCUUACCAAGGCAACGAUGCGUAGCCGACCUGAGAGGGUGAUCGGCCACACUGGAACUGAGACACGGUCCAGACUCCUACGGGAGGCAGCAGUAGGGAAUCUUCCGCAAUGGGCGAAAGCUUGACGGAGCAACGCCGCGUGAGUGAUGAAGGUCUUCGGAUCGUAAAACUCUGUUAUUAGGGAAGAACAAAUGUGUAAGUAACUAUGCACGUCUUGACGGUACCUAAUCAGAAAGCCACGGCUAACUACGUG